CAAACGACUCUCGGCAACGGAUAUCUCGGCUCACGCAUCGAUGAAGAACGUAGCAAAAUGCGAUACUUGGUGUGAAUUGC
RNAcentral lists this ribosomal RNA (80 nucleotides) under Senecio adenotrichius. RNAcentral's name for it is "partial 5.8S ribosomal RNA". It matches the Rfam family "5.8S ribosomal RNA", at positions 1 to 75 of the family's 154-position model. Rfam says of the family: 5.8S ribosomal RNA (5.8S rRNA) is a component of the large subunit of the eukaryotic ribosome. It is transcribed by RNA polymerase I as part of the 45S precursor that also contains 18S and 28S rRNA. Functionally, it is thought that 5.8S rRNA may be involved in ribosome translocation. Lineage: Eukaryota; Viridiplantae; Streptophyta; Magnoliopsida; Asterales; Asteraceae. The record is from RNAcentral.